AAUUAUUUAGGGUAAAUCAGCUCUGUUAACUCUCUCUUCUUCUCUUGAAGCUGCUCCUAUUGUAACCACCUCAGUCAUUCUCAUAAAACACAUUUGAAAAAUGGGAGACAGAAUGCAAGAGAUAUUCAAACACUGCUUGGCAUGUGAAAUUUCAAUUUAACUGGACUUUCUGGAUUCCAUCUUGCAACCCAAGGAUGACAGAAUGACUAUAUAUAGGAGCACGGCUGAAGUCAGAGAGGGUUCCACCCAGGAAAUGUAACCACCUCUUCUGAAAACACCUAUUAUGGUCUUUCUCCCUCCUGUGGAUUUAAAAGAUGAAAAAAGAUGGAA
This is a long non-coding RNA of Mustela erminea (ermine), 330 nucleotides long. RefSeq lists it as uncharacterized. The transcript is spliced from 3 exons. The record is from RefSeq and is a predicted model, not a curated record. Lineage: Eukaryota; Metazoa; Chordata; Mammalia; Carnivora; Mustelidae.